AUCAUUGCGUGACGCCUGUCAUAUUUGGCGGAUUUCGCCUGAACGCAGGCUGAACCGCGCCGCCCCGUCAUUUGGCGGCGUCUUCGUGGAAAUGCUCGUAGACGAUACGGGCGACCGUUUCGGAAAUGCCGUUUACCGACAUCAGGUCGUUGAUGCCGGCGCGGGAGACGGCUU
This 174-nucleotide small RNA is filed under the name Sinorhizobium meliloti 2011. RNAcentral describes it as "putative ncRNA". Lineage: Bacteria; Pseudomonadati; Pseudomonadota; Alphaproteobacteria; Hyphomicrobiales; Rhizobiaceae. The record is from RNAcentral.